CUGGAAAAUGAACCAGUUCUUAUGAGCUGCUUUUCUGUAUGAGCAGUCAAAGCAUUUUAUACAGCGUGCUUCAUUCACACAAGCACUUCUUUUUCUAACAAUGACACUAUGAUGGAUGCAUCGGAGAGGAAGUCGGGGUUCCACAUCUUGCCCAAGGAUACUGUGGCGUGCAGACUGGAGCAGCCAGGGAUCAAACCUCCAACCUUCCAUAGCAACCAGGACCAUAAUGAACCCUGACUCCAACAGACACUCAGGAUCCACCUGCCCACUUGCUGAGCAGAAACAUCUAUGAAGAGUCCAGUCAGUGAUUAUUACUCAUUAGAAGGGAAGAUGAAGAAUCCUGGUGUUGGAAGCUCACACUGUCUGCACUGUGCAUGCAAAGUCCACUGAAUGAAUGAACCAGUGAAUGUAGGAAGUGCCCACUGUUUCUGUAAGUAUGGGAGGACCCACCUCUCUCUGCAGAUGUCCCUGACACAGGCGGCCCUGGCCAGGAUCUGCUCCCACUGGGCGUCCCUCCCCAGCACCACC
Molecule: long non-coding RNA, 528 nt
Organism: Astatotilapia calliptera (eastern happy)
Lineage: Eukaryota; Metazoa; Chordata; Actinopteri; Cichliformes; Cichlidae
Source: Ensembl